AUCGAUGGCUUGCAUGUGGUCCAUUCUCAUUUCUCAUAAUACAGAAAACAAGGAAAAUGGAAAAAGAGUAAACAAGAAAUGGGGAGAAAAUUAUCGCAUCAUCUCAAAGAAAAACAGGCUAAAAUAUAAUACUACAGAAGCAAGACUAUAUUGUGCAUGCCAUAGAUCACCACAAUUAACAGGAAAUGCAAGCCCUAAAGUCUCUCUCUAUGAACAAUCAGAUUUAAAAACUCUGCGUGUUGGGAAUCACUGUUCAAUAAAUCUUUUUUGAUCGUGUCUUGCACUUCCCCUUGAACUCUUCUUUUAUUUUCGCUGUUUUGUACUCGAUCAAUGACAGGCCCAUGGUGCAAGGAAAAAGGUCAAUAAAUACAGCCAUGUCCUUCUCUAUGUUGUUAUAUCCAUCAGAAUCAUGUUAUUUAUCGAUAUCCAUUCAUGGAAUUUAAAGAUUAAGGAGAUAGCAUUAUAUAAAU
Molecule: unclassified non-coding RNA, 470 nt
Filed under: Hevea brasiliensis (rubber tree)
Lineage: Eukaryota; Viridiplantae; Streptophyta; Magnoliopsida; Malpighiales; Euphorbiaceae
Source: RNAcentral